This 280-nucleotide ribosomal RNA is filed under the name uncultured bacterium. Its description in RNAcentral is "partial 16S ribosomal RNA". It matches the Rfam family "Bacterial small subunit ribosomal RNA", at positions 335 to 604 of the family's 1533-position model. The record is from RNAcentral.
ACUCCUACGGGAGGCAGCAGUGGGGAAUAUUGCACAAUGGGCGCAAGCCUGAUGCAGCCAUGCCGCGUGUGUGAAGAAGGCCUUCGGGUUGUAAAGCACUUUCAGUUGUGAGGAAAGGUUAGUCGCUAAUAUCGGCUAGCUGUGAUCGUUAUGCAAACAGAAGAAGCACCGGCUAACUCCGUGCCAGCAGCCGCGGUAAUACGGAGGGUGCGAGCGUUAAUCGGAAUUACUGGGCGUAAAGCGCGUGUAGGUGGCUUGUUAAGCCAGAUGUGAAAGCCCC